RNAcentral lists this microRNA precursor (102 nucleotides) under Marmota monax (woodchuck). The record is from RNAcentral. Lineage: Eukaryota; Metazoa; Chordata; Mammalia; Rodentia; Sciuridae.
AGAGUGAUUGCUGGAUAGUAUGGUAGCAGUGUUUGUUUUUAUAAGAAACUGCCAAACUGUCAUCCAGAGUGACUGUACCAUGUUUUCAUUGCCCGUAGCAGU